UUUUGUAAAUUAAAACUUGUAUGAAUGGUUUAAUGUAAAUAUAACUGUCUUUAUUUUUUAAAUAAAAUUUAAUUUUUUAGUGAAGAGGCUAAAAUGAUUUAAAAAGACGAGAAGACCCUAUUGAGUUUUAUAUAUUUUUAUAAAAAAUUAUAAAUAUUAUAUUUUAUUGGGGUAAUAAAAGAAUAUAUCUUCUUUUAAUUUAUUAAAAUAAUAAUUAUUAAUCCAUUAAUAGUGAGAUAAGAUAAAUUACCAUAGGGAUAACAGCAUAAUCUUUUUUGAGAGUACAUAUUAAUAAAAAGGGUUGUGACCUCGAUGUUGAAUUAAGAGAAUUAUAUGAUGAAGAAGUUAUAGGAAUAAGUCUGUUCGACUUUUAAAUUCUUA
This 381-nucleotide ribosomal RNA is filed under the name Paraperipatus cf. lorentzi MCZ 131414. Its description in RNAcentral is "partial 16S ribosomal RNA". Lineage: Eukaryota; Metazoa; Onychophora; Udeonychophora; Euonychophora; Peripatopsidae. The record is from RNAcentral.